Molecule: non-coding RNA, 933 nt
Organism: Nicotiana tabacum (common tobacco)
Lineage: Eukaryota; Viridiplantae; Streptophyta; Magnoliopsida; Solanales; Solanaceae
Source: RefSeq, a predicted model, not a curated record
CACAGGCUGAGUGAGGAUUUGUUUAGCUGAACAACAGUAUCCGAGAGUAUUGAGCGAUCAAGUUUAGCUAAAGAGACGUCUAGGCUUGAAAAAACUAUUGAUUAUAUAUGCCCCCCAAAAUAGGGAAGCAUCAAUGCUCUGAAGAAAGAGGUGUCAAAAUAAAACAAAGACACCGUGAUAUAUAUAGAGAGAAGUCGGCGGACAGAAGAGAAUUAAACUUAAUGCAACAACGAAUGGUAUACCUUCAUUCUACCACACAUAAUCCUAUUGGUAAUUCCACCGAGGUACCAACUUCUUGCCAAUUUAGCAAAGAGCAGAUUGAGAAUACAGUUGGUGUAAGAGGAGCCUCAUCUUCUCUCUUGUACACAACAAAUGGGAACUCAGUUGAUGCUUCCGUUAUUUCUGAUAAUGGCAGAGAUAUAGGUAGUAGCUCAUGCGCUUUUGAAGUUGGUAAGCCUGGAACAAUGGUGUUAUUUGUAAUUUCUUUUACAUAUCCAAACUUAUGUGAUAAUUCAUUAUAUAUUAGGGUCCACCUCAGAAACGUGCACUGAACAAUACAACAUUACGUCACAUACAACAUCAUAGAAAGGUUUCUUUUCAUCUACCCUUCAAAUCAUUUUUGUCAUUUUUUCUCCUAUAUUUUCCUUUCCUAAAAUUUGAGAUAUACAGGUCGUAAAAAUAGAAUAUUGGGUCAUUGCAACACUAAUGAAUUGCCUAAUAGCUCUUUCAGACUCAAACCUGUAUCAAACUAUGAAUUUUGUAGAGCCAAAAGAUUUGAAUAUGAACCACCGGGAUUUUGUUGUGACAAUGUUUCAGUGAAAUUGAUUCACUAUGGAAUGCCUGCUGAAUUGCUAAAGCUUUAUUUAGGGAACUCUGAGGAAUGUGAAUAUUUUCGCACUUAUGUUAGAAUGUAUAAUAACAUGUUCGCAUUUA